This is a long non-coding RNA of Dama dama (fallow deer), 355 nucleotides long. RefSeq lists it as uncharacterized. NCBI's taxonomy places the organism in Eukaryota, Metazoa, Chordata, Mammalia, Artiodactyla, Cervidae. The record is from RefSeq and is a predicted model, not a curated record. The transcript has 3 exons.
GUUAAGAUUGUGGGCUACAACCAUGUAAGGCGAGUCUAGGAAUGUAAAUUUACACUGUCUGCUGAUGACUUGAGACUUGCCAGAAAUUUCUGCAAUGAAACAAAAGAUUUGCAACCUGCUUUUCCAAGGCAAAACAGUACUUAAGCCCAGGACUCAGUCUCUCAACUCUGAAGGACUGCUCCAAAGAGGGACCGAGGCUCUGGUCAAAGUACAAGAAAGUGUCUCCCAGCUUCUGUGGACAACUAGAGGCCUUGUGCCCUGCCUCGUGGAGAAUGCUGUCGACCACGUGGAGGAUCAAGCUGGGUGAAGGAGUGACAAGGACUCACCCAUCUCACAGGACAGAACGAGGAAGACA